RNAcentral lists this unclassified non-coding RNA (89 nucleotides) under Pseudomonas mediterranea. The record is from RNAcentral. Lineage: Bacteria; Pseudomonadati; Pseudomonadota; Gammaproteobacteria; Pseudomonadales; Pseudomonadaceae.
UGUGGGAGCGAGCCUGCUCGCGAUGACGGCGGUACAUCCAGCAUAGCCGUUCCGGACAGACCGCUAUCGCGAGCAGGCUCGCUCCCACA